Molecule: ribosomal RNA, 253 nt
Filed under: uncultured bacterium
Lineage: Bacteria
Description: partial 16S ribosomal RNA
Rfam family: Bacterial small subunit ribosomal RNA
Source: RNAcentral
UACGUAGGGACCAAGCGUUGUUCGGAUUUACUGGGCGUAAAGGGCGCGUAGGCGGCGUGUCAAGUCAAUUGUGAAAUCUCCGAGCUUAACUCGGAACUGCCAAUUGAUACUGAUGUGCUAGAGUGCAGAAAGGGCAAUCGGAAUUCUUGGUGUAGCGGUGAAAUGCGUAGAUAUCAAGAGGAACACCUGAGGCGAAGGCGGGUUGCUAGGCUGACACUGACGCUGAGGCGCGAAAGCUAGGGUAGCAAACGGG